Molecule: long non-coding RNA, 277 nt
Organism: Cygnus olor (mute swan)
Lineage: Eukaryota; Metazoa; Chordata; Aves; Anseriformes; Anatidae
Exons: 2
Source: RefSeq, a predicted model, not a curated record
UAGGCUAUAUUCUGUCUUCAUUCUGCAUCUGGAAUUUCCAUUGACGUCAGUAGAGCUGUUGAGCAAAAUUAAAAAGAAUAGUCUAAGGUCUAGAACUGAGUCCAGAUGGAAGUUGAAACACUUGCUCUUCCUGUUCAGGAAAUACCACAAAAGGAAUUAACUUAAUACAUGAAGGAUGAAAGCUUCAUUCCAUUCAAUCAUUCAAUGAUAAGUUUUGAAAUACCUUACAUAAUAGUUUUCAUUCUUCACAGAAUAAAAGAAAAUAAAAUAAAUUAUU